Molecule: long non-coding RNA, 357 nt
Organism: Stylophora pistillata
Lineage: Eukaryota; Metazoa; Cnidaria; Anthozoa; Scleractinia; Pocilloporidae
Source: RefSeq, a predicted model, not a curated record
GUCGAAUCGUUCAUUAGCUGUGAGUUCGCUUAGGGACCGAGAAGCCACAUUAAUCUGGCUUCAUUAUAAUGGUUAACCGCAGAAUACCCUGCCAUUUCAAGACUACCCAGUUGUAAGGGCCGAAGUGCUUUGAUGGGCCUUGCGAACAAGAGUUCCAAGUUUCAAAAAGUCAGUUGAAUCACACUUGAUGGGUUGCCAUUGGUCAGGAAAGAGUCUGGGAGAGAAAAUGUCUUCAAGGUCAGAAAAAAGUCAAGAAUUAGUCUGGGUCGACAAGAUACAAGAUCAGGGGUUUCAUUAAGGGCCAGGCAUCAAGCAAAUUGACUGGUUGUGACGAUGGCUUUGCCCACCUGAUUUGAC